GCACAAGCGGUGGAGCAUGUGGUUCAAUUCGAAGCAACGCGCAGAACCUUACCAACCUUUGACAUCCCGAUCGCGGAUACCAGAGACGGUGUCCUUCAGUUCGGCUGGAUCGGAGACAGGUGCUGCAUGGCUGUCGUCAGCUCGUGUCGUGAGAUGUUGGGUUAAGUCCCGCAACGAGCGCAACCCUCGGCCUUAGUUGCCAUCAUUUAGUUGGGCACUCUAAGGCGACUGCCGGUGAUAAGCCGGAGGAAGGUGGGGAUGACGUCAAGUCCUCAUGGCCCUUACAGGUUGGGCUACACACGUGCUACAAUGGCGGUGACAGAGGGACGCGAGGGCGCAAGCCUUGGCAAAUCUCGAAAAACCGUCUCAGUUCGGAUUGGGGUCUGCAACUCGACCCCAUGAAGUUGGAAUCGCUAGUAAUCGCAGAUCAGCACGCUGCGGUGAAUACGUUCCCGGGC
RNAcentral lists this ribosomal RNA (458 nucleotides) under uncultured bacterium. RNAcentral describes it as "bacterial SSU rRNA". It matches the Rfam family "Bacterial small subunit ribosomal RNA", at positions 923 to 1379 of the family's 1533-position model. The record is from RNAcentral.